UAAUAACACCGAUCUUUUGAU
This 21-nucleotide non-coding RNA is filed under the name Caenorhabditis elegans. Lineage: Eukaryota; Metazoa; Nematoda; Chromadorea; Rhabditida; Rhabditidae. The record is from RNAcentral.